AACGAACGCUGGCGGCAUGCCUAACACAUGCAAGUCGAACGAGACCUUCGGGUCUAGUGGCGCACGGGUGCGUAACGCGUGGGAACCUGCCCUUAGGUUCGGAAUAACUCCCCGAAAGGUGUGCUAAUACCGGAUAAUGUCUUCGGACCAAAGAUUUAUCGCCUUUGGAUGGGCCCGCGUUGGAUUAGCUAGUUGGUAGGGUAAAAGCCUACCAAGGCGACGAUCCAUAGCUGGUCUGAGAGGAUGACAAGCCACACUGGGACUGAGACACGGCCCAGACUGCUACGGGAAGCAGCAGUGGGGAAUAUUGGACAAUGGGAGAAAGCCUGAUCCAGCAAUGCCGCGUGAGUGAUGAAGGCCUUAGGGUUGUAAAGCUCUUUUACACGGGAUGAUAAUGACAGUACCGGGAGAAUAAGCACCGGCUAACUCCGUG
This 433-nucleotide ribosomal RNA is filed under the name uncultured bacterium. RNAcentral describes it as "partial 16S ribosomal RNA". It matches the Rfam family "Bacterial small subunit ribosomal RNA", at positions 29 to 507 of the family's 1533-position model. The record is from RNAcentral.